CCAGACUCCUACGGGAGGCAGCAGUGAGGAAUAUUGGUCAAUGGACGAGAGUCUGAACCAGCCAAGUAGCGUGAAGGAUGACUGCCCUAUGGGUUGUAAACUUCUUUUAUAAAGGAAUAAAACGAGGCACGUGUGCCUUUUUGCAUGUACUUUAUGAAUAAGGAUCGGCUAACUCCGUGCCAGCAGCCGCGGUAAAACGUAGGGGGCGAGCGUUGUCCGGAAUGACUGGGCGUAAAGGGUGCGUAGGCGGCAUAAUAAGUUAGAAGUGAAAUACCCAGAGCUUAACUCGGGUGCUGCUUCUAAGACUGUUGAGCUUGAGUGCGGGAGAGGUUAAUGGAAUUCCUAGUGUAGCGGUGGAAUGCGUAGAUAUUAGGAGGAACACCAGAGGCGAAGGCGAUUAACUGGACCGUAACUGACGCUGAGGCACGAAAGUGUGGGUAGCAAACAGGAUUAGAUACCCCGGUACG
Molecule: ribosomal RNA, 467 nt
Filed under: uncultured bacterium
Lineage: Bacteria
Description: bacterial SSU rRNA
Rfam family: Bacterial small subunit ribosomal RNA
Source: RNAcentral